Varroa destructor (honeybee mite) is the source of this 885-nucleotide long non-coding RNA. RefSeq lists it as uncharacterized. The record is from RefSeq and is a predicted model, not a curated record. Lineage: Eukaryota; Metazoa; Arthropoda; Arachnida; Mesostigmata; Varroidae.
UGUUGAUUUGUUCUUGUCCCAACUGUUGAGUAACCGACUUUUUAAGUCGUUUAAUGAGCGAAGGAACGUGCCUUGGAGUCGACAUCCUUUUCCCCACUCACGUGAACAGCCUUUCAACAGCUGAGAUUAUGAUACCGGUUUGUUUUAACACGUGAGCGUCAUCUUUAUCGUCAUGUUAUGUGGCAGCCCCUUUGUUGCCCACCGAGUUCCGUUCAAAUGCUGACGCCUCACAGAUAUUAUCCCAGUCCCAUAUUCUCCGACUUCCGCCCUCUCAUAUAUACGCUUCGACUUACAGCGACACAGACACGGGGAGUCGUGUACAGAACUUCAGCCUUAAGAACCUAAGCUUUCCUGACAGUCAAUCCAGCGAGUUCCGACUGUCCCAACUCCUGCGCCACCGCCACCGAGGCGGCGGCUUCUCUGUAUGGUAGCUGAGUAUAAAGGAAUUCACCAGGGAGAACCGGCAGAAGGAUGGAAGCCCCCAGAACUAGCAAUCGCUUUUUGGGUUUUGCCUACAGUUGGGACUACGAACAAACGAUACUUGCUGCUUGCUCAAUCGCGCGAUACGUCAAUUCAGAGCAAUGGUGAGAUGUAUAGAUGAGCGCCACUCAGUUUAUUGGCACGCUCGAUGAAAGCGCGGCAAAAUCCGAAAGGCAAAUACGAAAAUUACGGAUGUUUAGAUCCCUUAACUUCGAAAACAAACGACGACCCUCUCACUGGGAACACUCAUCACGCCGCAGACUGUUUCUACUGGCACCUCCAGCAAAUGUCUGGUACCCCAUGGAUUACAAGAUACGACAAAUUACAAUGGGAUGAUAAGGAGCACAGGUGGAUGACUUCGACAAAGCGCGCGAUGGAAAGCCAGCUUCCUCAUUAUGAUGAUGA